CAGAAUAAGUAAUAUUAUAUGGGAAGAGUUUUUGUCCUGUUAUAUUUUUAUAAAUCAAUAAAUGUAAAUAUUGUAACAGGCCAAAAUUGUCUGGCCCAAGCCCAAAGUAGACAACCCAAAAUACUUAAAACGAAUAACAGUCCAAAGUUAUUACAGUCCAAAUUCGGGCCCUAAACAACCUAAACAAAUGACCCACUACCCAACUACAACCCAGUAGGCCCAAUUUACAAGUGGCCCAAACACAACUCAAAAUCCCUAAUCCAAUUUCUAUCGGCCUAAUAGGCCCAAAAUAUUAAACCAACUCAGAAACCCUAGGGUUUCUGAGCCUCCCUCGCGCCGCAGCCACCACCCACGUGCCUCGGCGCGCACUCCGCCUGAAGGUCGACUCUCCUUGCACGGAAGUGGAAACUCCCUUGUCCAUUAACCUUCCAUGGACCUGCAAACAUGCAAAAAGGGAGAAAGCAAAUAGAACAGAAGCAGCACGCAAAGGAAACAAAACAAAAUAACUAAUAUAUGUAUUAUCUUUCGGUUAUAAAGCCCCAAAAACUAGAAAUGUAGUUUUUUACAAGCAUAUUAAGCAAUCAAAGAAAAAAACAAGGUUGAUUUUGACUUCUCGUGCUCCUUUCGUUCUUUUUAUUUUCGCUUUUAUUAUUAUUAUUAUUUUAUUUUUUUAUAAAUCUGUUUUAAACAAAGAAAUAGAGGAGAAAGAACACUUACCUGAACCCCGGGGUCGUGUCGUCGGAAUCCCUGCUCCGUCGUAGUCGCCGAAUCCCAAGGGGAAAAAGGGGAUCUUCUCUCUCAGGCCUUCGGGCGCUUUCAACUGGGGUUAAAAAAACCUUCUUUUCGCGCGAUCUCAACCACCACCCACGGUGGCGUCACGACGACGGCUGCGAUGAUGGGUUUUUGAAACCUUAGUAGAGAAAAUAAUGGAAACGGGGGGUGUUCUCUGAUUUUUUUAAGAGAAGGAAGCAAAAAUAAAA
RNAcentral lists this long non-coding RNA (980 nucleotides) under Gossypium barbadense (sea-island cotton). Its description in RNAcentral is "long non-coding RNA (GBAR_LNC002558)". Lineage: Eukaryota; Viridiplantae; Streptophyta; Magnoliopsida; Malvales; Malvaceae. The record is from RNAcentral.